AAGAAAUUAGUUAAAUUUAUAACAUUCGUUUGUCAUGCGUAAAUUAUCUUAAAGAUAUUUCUUA
Molecule: transfer RNA, 64 nt
Filed under: Orisarma dehaani
Lineage: Eukaryota; Metazoa; Arthropoda; Malacostraca; Decapoda; Sesarmidae
Also listed under: 1 other name
Description: Chiromantes dehaani tRNA-Asp
Source: RNAcentral